This 1185-nucleotide long non-coding RNA is filed under the name Mus spicilegus (steppe mouse). RNAcentral describes it as "lncRNA (ENSMSIG00000003015.1)". The record is from RNAcentral. Lineage: Eukaryota; Metazoa; Chordata; Mammalia; Rodentia; Muridae.
GUUACUGGAUUCUUCUACCAUGGUAAGUGAUCACUCUAACCCAUAGCCCUGGGGUAGAAUGGAAGGCUCUGUGGCUAUGGCAUAUUUGUGAGUAGAUGGCGUGAUAAGCGGAGGCACAAGAUUGAUGGGUGGGACUGGUCUCAGCCACCCCAGCCCAGAACAUGCAGAAAUGUGAACAAACCCACCUGCUAUCUGCCAGUGUUCAUCCGACUCUCAGAUCUAUAGAGUGUAGAGUGAACUUAAAUUGUUUCCUUCUGAAAUGCCCUAACUUGGAGAUGUGAGUUUCCAGAGAGCUACACAGUCAGAUGAAGCACUAGAAGAAAGGACUAAUAAUCCAGACUCCUUGGUUCCCAUGGUGCACUUCGCUUUAGAUCCCAGCAACAGGACUUACAGACAGCCAGGCUUUUCCAAUGACAGUGGUUUCACUGGGUCCUAGCUGAUGGUACUUCAAGGGCCUGAGCCUGGAGACAAAGAAACAAACGACUUCCUUUGAAUUUAUGGUGGGGUAAUACAGAAAGAAGUGUGCUUUUACCUCUCCUGGAUCUAUUAUCCAGUGAAAGUACACCCAGAAGCCUGUGCCAGAGCUAGUCCUGUGUGACAUUCAGCAUGCUGGUUACAGAUAUAUAGAGAUGACGGGUGGCAUUUAUCUGCAGAUAGGCCUGUUGACUCAAUCCUAGGGAAGCUACUUGUUGGCUGGAAAUAAGCCUCACCAACUACCUCUCCAUAGGUGGGAUGCUACAUCUGAAUAGAAAGUCUUGUUUUAUAGAUUAAGGGUGUGUGUUUCUUGUUUCACUGACUCCUUGGAUGAAUCCUUUCAUUCUAUGAGCUGAAGAACUUCAUAAGAAAUGGAGAAGGGGUAGUGAGUGGAGAAUGAUGUGGGAUUGGCGAAGGAACUCUCAGAGCAAGUAUCUAUAACUGCAGAGAAGAAAGAAUGUGUGCUGGCUGGUUUUGUGUGUCAACUAGAAUCAUCAGGAGAAACAAACCUCAGGCUGCAGUAAAUGUCACGGUGGUGAAAGAAGAGCCCUUCAGACAGUCUGAGGAGAGAGAAUGUUUUAUGAUCAUUGCUUCAUUCCACACAAAGGCCAUUAUUCUGUUGCUCUUCACAUCAUGUUAUAAAUGUGUCCCAGUCCACUCGGAUGCAUAAGGUUUGUUCCUCACAGCAAUUUGAUUUUGCCACUACUUUUC